UGGUGGUUUUACUCAUCUCAGGAUGCACAACAGGCUGGUGGUUUUUACAAAGAUUUUCAGAGUUGUUUCCUUUUCCAACUACAUAUGUAAGGUAGUUUUGCCAUUAUCUGCAAUAUCUGUUUCAGCCUUAAAGAUCAACUUUUCAACCUUGGUCCAGUUAUGAAGGCGGUAUGGAUUAUGGUUUUCGCCUAGAGCACAUGGACCUGGAAAUACUCUUUUUCUGUCCACCAUGGUAGAUUAAUGGUCCCAUCAGAGAACUUCCAGCAGUGCCUGCCCCGAGCCAGCCUGGGCUGACCCUGCCAGUUCGGCCCCUGGAUGCCUCUUGGGCGAUAGCAUUUACGACCUGGUUGUACCCUUGAUGCCCCUCCUCCUCUAUCUUUAGGAAAUCUGGUUCUAUAAGGUCAUUAUUAUUUGCCGUUAAAGAAUGGCUAGGCUUGAAUUUGAUAAAGUUCCCAAGAUCAGCAUUAUUGUAAAUAAAACUGUGAGACUUCAACUAGAAAAAAGCAAAACUUACAAUUAGGACAUCCUUUUACCCAUUACACGUUUAGUGGUGUGUUUUAUCUUUAUUUUUUUUAAAGAUCCAAUCAAAGGAUCUGCUGGAAGCAAAUCAAAGCGUUUCCACUUCAGAAUGACACCAGUCAGGGGUCGCCCUAAGUCAGAAAGGAGUUAAGCUUUGAGUCACAGGGUGCAUCCGUGUCCCCAUUCUUUCCUAAAAUGCGAACUCCCUGGGCUGAUGAGCCUGGAGGCCUGUGGCUUGUCCAAGGUCUCGGGGCAGGAUCCCGGUGCCAGGUGUAUGUGGCCUCUUGCUCUGGAGUCUUGGGACAGAUCUAUUCAAAUGGACACGGCGUCGGAAAGUGAGCCUUGAGACUCAGGCUUUUGGAAGGGUUGUCUCUUCUGUUUAGCUUCUCAUACAGCCUGUCUGAAAGAGCUCCUAGCUCACGCGUGCCACGGGAACAAGCUGACGGCGGGCCCAGGUUCUGCAUCAGUGGCGUUAGUGAGCGUCUGGUCCUCUUGGGGCCCAGCUAGACCACCAGCGAUGCCCCUGGCGAAGCCACAGAGGACCUCAGCUUGAAAGCCACUUGACAUUGUUCACUUGUUAAUAGGAAGAAAUUCAUUUGAAAUAACAGGGUCACUAAUUGCCACUCAGAGUAUAUGUGGUCAUCUAAUCAAAGAUUUCUCCAAGCACUGAUAGUCAAAUAUAGAUGAAUUAUUCACCAGUUCAGUAUAUGGUAGUUUUUCGAAUAGUAGCUAUUUAAAGAGCACACUUCUUGCUUGCUAGGUUUCAGUAGACGUCAGCAUGAGGUCCGAUGGAAGCAGGUUCCAGAAGCUUCAAACCACAAGCGUGGAGCUGGCAGCCCGGGAUGCUGGAUGCAGGACAUGGCAGGACCCCCUUUCACCACCUUGACCCGCUCUUCAAGCCACUGUUUAAACCUGGUUCUUCCUUUCCUCAACUUGUCAUCACAGAAAGUGCCAGACUCUUCAGAGACCACAGAUUACCAGGCAGCCUUUGUCUGGGAAGGGGGGACCAUGGGGCUCCUCCAGGACACCCUGCUGCCGUCCUGCCAAUGCCCCUCCUCUCUGCCUCCUGGGCAUUUCCAGUUGGGGGUCCCAUGCCCUGCCUUCUGCCCCUGCCACCCUGUGAGAAGCCUGAGGGCUGCACAUGCAGGACGCCGCCGCCCUGACGUCCAGUAUUGUCAGAAACAGGGCGCCCCAGCCGUCAGAGGAGCAUUUUGACUACUGCCAGAGCGCCAGAGCCCUUCCUGCUGCCCGCCUGGCCUCCGGUUUCCCUGUGACCUUUCUACAGCUCUCCAGUGAGAGGCGUUUCAAGCAUCUUCCCAAAGAGGAUAUAUGCGCAGGGGUAAACAGUGAAUGUGAAUUGAGGGGAAAGAAUUCCAGAAUUCCAGAAUGUCUGUGAGAGAUGUCCCUGUUAAAGGGAGUCCUUCCUUCUACUUUAAGAGCACAGCACCUUUCCACGGUACUGAUGCGUUUCCUACACUGGGCCACAUGAAACGCUAAGAAAACAGACGACCUUGAGGACCGUGGACGUUCCAGCAAAGGGCAGCAGCCUAAGAUCUGAGCAGAAGCUCAAGGCCCAAGGGGUCCGGCGCUCCCAGCUAAGACCAACUUGACCGCCGGCCCGGCCUUUUAUGGGGGCUUCCGGGGACCGGGGGAAAACCAGCCACCUUCAAGUGCCUCUUCCACCCGUGUGGCCUUGCGAAGCGCAGAUCCCACGAGGAAGACUGCCAGGUGCUCACGGCUCCCCACCUGCGCUUUCGGUGCAAGUUCCUGCUGUCGCCUCCAAUCCUCAGCCCCGUCUUCAAGUGGAAACACCCGGCGUGGACGAAGGGCCGCCUGGCGGUGCAGGUUUAGCCCCGGGGGUGGCCUGCUUCCCCCACUUCCCGCCCCUGCAUUUAAGACGGGCGAGGGUGCGGCGAGGCGGUCCCUGUGGGUUAGCCCGGAGCCCAGGCUGCACGUGUUCCUGGAAGGGUCACUUGUUCUUAGGUUCACAACAGUGGUGUCGAUUCAGGAGAUGCAAGGAAAUUGUACUGUCCAUAGAAGUCGCAAACUAAGACCGAUGCCACCAGCAGGGGGGCUCAGCGAUUAUUAAAAAGUGUCCAGGGAGGAUUUUCGCCACACUCACUGUUCCCAGGGCGUUGGUGGUGCGGGCACUGGAUGGUUCCAAAGACAGACUGUCUGUAUUUAUUCUUCUCGUUUUGUAAGCGGCCCAGCUGCUCUUAAGUCUUGGUCCAAGCUGACUUACGAGGCUCCCCCGGGAUUAUGGGUUCUUACCAACCAAGUCUUUGCAUGGAGCUGUCAGCUAAGGGGACUCUUGCCUUCCUGACAGCAGUGACUUCCAGGCGGCACAGCAGGAAGGCACCGCAGACAGCUCGGCUGGGAGGAGCGAACGAAGGGCCGGACAGUGAACGCUGACAGCGUCCCCACCCCCGCUAACGGGGCGCUUUCCUCCUUCUCAGUGCGAGGACUUUUCCGGGGGCGUGUUCUCCUCUAGGGACCUUCUGCCCAGAAAGAUCUAAGGUUAGGCUCCAAAGGUUGAGGUCUAAAAGUUUUUGCUGAGAUUUGUAUCUACUUUUAGGUGCCAUUUUAAUACAAUUCAGGAAAAUGGUCGUCGACCCUCAGCCCGUGAAACACACGGGAGUGAGAACAAAGGCAGUAAAUUUGGUCUGACUCAGAAUAUAGGAGGCCCAUUCUACUUCUCUGGAAACUACAGGACAGACUGAAAUGUGAUAGUGGAAGUUUUGCAAGGAAAAGAAUAAGACAACGCGUCUUCACGCUUUCAUUUAAAGAAUUACGUAGCGCUUUGCGUGAUGCUGUGUUUGUGGAACGCGGCAGGUCCUUAAACUUAUCUCAGCAGCGUGGGCUGCUGUGGGUAUGGCUGCUUAUUAGGGCAGAGAGUAAGAAGCUGCCGCCCAGGGCUCAUUUCCAGACACCCUUUCCCGGCUUGAGGCACCCGGACUCCUCAGAUCUCGAAGGGGGCUCUCGACAGACCAUCUGCUUCUCAGAAUUUCAGUCUGAGACAAGAUAAGUGUAACCGUUUACUUCCACCCCCCUGAGAAAGGGGAGCCAUGUACCGUGUCCCGGGGGAACACAUGAGGUCACAUCCUUCUGGAAUCCUUCGCCACAUAGAACAAGACCACACUGCAUCCACGUCAAGGUCACCUCUUGACUACAGCAACUGGUAGACGUCAAGGACUUCGGGCCCCGCGGCUGUUAAAUGCAUUAUAUGAAAAAAAAUCGAAGAAAUAUCAAUUUUUUACAUCACAAAUAGCAAAUUAAGCCCUGGGUCAGGUAUUUUUCAUUUAAAAUGUGUUUGCUAGUUUGGGUGGAAUGUGAAAAGCUUCCAUGUUUUUCCCCAGAGAAGGUAAUACACCAGCCUCCCCGCUCCCACCCUCAGCAUCUAAAAUUCAUUAAGUGAUGAACAUUACAGCGUCAUGCCAGCCGGAGCGCAGACAAGCUCCCCACGAUGAGCCCUGGCUCCCCUGACAAGGGGUGGGGGCCCCUGAGUCUCCAGGCCCUGAACACAAGUGAGUGGCUCAUCUUUUCAAGGUCAAAUCAUUCACUUUGGGCAAAUGUCUUUUCUUUUUUAAAGGCACAGGCGGUCUGGUCCUUUUUUCAGGCCUAAAAAAAUGUACCUCACACGAGAUGGAUACCACUCAGUACGGUUUUCGGUAGAAUUACAGUAUUCGGGUUCGAGUAUCACUAUUUUUUCUACACUGUAUGGUAAAAAAGAACUAUGUUAAUAGCUAUAUCUUAAAUACUGUGAUUUGAGGUUUUUUUAAAAAAGUCCUAAUGUAAAUAUUUUACUCACAAUCAUGCAUCUAAUAGCAAAUAUUGGGAUUCUUCUGCAAUCAGUGUUAAUUGACGUAUACUCUCACUAGCCUGGCUCUUGGACUUGUUGGAAACACACAGGAAGCUGAAAUAUCACAACUGAAAUACAACUGCACGCACGCACACACACACAUCAGAGCUUUCCUUCUCUCCUGAGCCAUGGGGAAUUCUUUUCCCUGUAAACCUGUUCCCUUCCUCAUGCUUCACGUGCAAGAGGCACGAAUGAGUCUUGUUUUAUCAUUUCUACCGGCAAGGCUGCCUCCGACCCAGGUCAGAAGUCACCGAUUUCACACAGCAGGAUCCCGCUGCAGACCGUGAACUAGUCCUGUGUAGUAAGCAGCUGUCUGUUCUUCAGGGAAUUACUACCUGUGGGUUGUUACCAAAGAACUUUGCAAUUUGAAAGAUGCCGAUGGCAGUGAUUGGCAACGGUUGGGUCUCUGCAGCCUCCAGAGCCCAACCCGGAGUAUAAAGCAGAAGCCACAGAGCCCGUGAGUCUCCCAUACGAUGUUUUCCAUACCUUGGCAGAUUUCUUCCUGAUGUGUAUCUGUACCGCCCCCGAGACCCACAGGGCCGUCACACCCAAACCCAGGGGGAGCCUUUGCCAGACACAUGGCAGAGUGGUGCAGGUUCCCAAAGCCAGGACUGAGCUUGAUUCCUUGAUGUGUGUUUAUCGUUACUGUUCUUGGGUGCCUUAUACUCUCAAAGUAUUUAGGGGCUAACAGACCCUUUGUAUUUUAUACUAAACAGGAGCAAUUCCAAAGCAGAUCUUUUCUGAGCAGGCUCUGACGCCCUCUCUCCAGCGCAGACCCUCUGGGUGUGAUCGGUGGGGAAUCCAGGGCCGCAGGAAGCCGGGGUGUGCAGAGGAGAGCAAAUGGAAUCUUCCUAGUCACUUUACUGGCAGUGGUUCCAGGCAAUUAGAAAAUGGCUAUAAAAUAACUUUAAUUUUUUUUUAAUUUUGGGUCUUACUCAUUUUCCCUUUAGGAGAUUGAACUGAUCGUAUAUAUUGAUUUCUAUCCUGAAUUUAUGGGAACUUAUAUGUUUGGAAUGUCCUACUGUAAGACUGAUGAAUGUAAAGAGUUAAUUUCAGGGUACAGUUUUGCCUUAAUGGUUUUAAAAAAUAAACUAUUUUUAAAAAUUA
Long non-coding RNA from Balaenoptera musculus (blue whale), 5485 nucleotides. RefSeq lists it as uncharacterized. Lineage: Eukaryota; Metazoa; Chordata; Mammalia; Artiodactyla; Balaenopteridae. The transcript is spliced from 2 exons. The record is from RefSeq and is a predicted model, not a curated record.